This 100-nucleotide ribosomal RNA is filed under the name Rhodococcus sp. 05-2221-1B. RNAcentral describes it as "partial 16S ribosomal RNA". It matches the Rfam family "Bacterial small subunit ribosomal RNA", at positions 1444 to 1533 of the family's 1533-position model. The record is from RNAcentral. RNAcentral also lists the same sequence under 3 other names. Lineage: Bacteria; Bacillati; Actinomycetota; Actinomycetes; Mycobacteriales; Nocardiaceae.
GGGAGGGAGCCGUCGAAGGUGGGAUCGGCGAUUGGGACGAAGUCGUAACAAGGUAGCCGUACCGGAAGGUGCGGCUGGAUCACCUCCUUUCUAAGGAGCA